Molecule: signal recognition particle RNA, 148 nt
Filed under: Nomascus leucogenys (northern white-cheeked gibbon)
Lineage: Eukaryota; Metazoa; Chordata; Mammalia; Primates; Hylobatidae
Description: Metazoan signal recognition particle RNA
Rfam family: Metazoan signal recognition particle RNA
About the family: The signal recognition particle (SRP) is a universally conserved ribonucleoprotein. It is involved in the co-translational targeting of proteins to membranes.
Source: Rfam by way of RNAcentral
GCCAGGCGUGGUGGUGCAUGCCUGUAAUCCCAGCUACUUGGGAGGCUGAGGCAGGAGAAUCGCUUGAAUCCAGGAAGCAGAGGUUGCAGUGAGCCCAGAUCGCACCACUGAACUCCAGCCUGGGUGACAGAGAGAGAUUCUGUCUCAC